This 253-nucleotide ribosomal RNA is filed under the name uncultured bacterium. Its description in RNAcentral is "partial 16S ribosomal RNA". It matches the Rfam family "Bacterial small subunit ribosomal RNA", at positions 524 to 776 of the family's 1533-position model. The record is from RNAcentral.
UACGGAGGGUGCGAGCGUUAUCCGGAUUCACUGGGUUUAAAGGGUGCGUAGGUGGGUUGGUAAGUCAGUGGUGAAAUCUCCGAGCUUAACUUGGAAACUGCCAUUGAUACUAUCAGUCUUGAAUACCGUGGAGGUCAGCGGAAUAUGUCAUGUAGCGGUGAAAUGCUUAGAUAUGACAUAGAACACCAAUUGCGAAGGCAGCUGACUACGCGAAUAUUGACACUGAUGCACGAAAGCGUGGGGAUCAAACAGG